CGCCCAACUCGCUGGCAACCUCCGCUGCGUUCCUCCGCCCAACUGUAGCUCCGAGGACCCGCCAGCGACCGCAGCUCCUACGAGCUCCGCCAGCUAAGGCUUCACCGCUCCGCUAGGCUUCCGCUGACCAAAACCUCUUCCGCUAGUUGUACACCGCUAGCACACCAAAGCUCCAACAGCAACCAGCGACGAACUUCCUCCGCUAAGCUUCGUCAGCGGGAAACUUCUUCCGCUAGGAUCCAUCGGCGGCAUCACCAAGCUUCCUCCGCUAGCUAACAACAGCGCCAGUCCAAAUCUGAUUUCAACACCCAAAUUUUUGCAAGAUCAAGACCUCUCACCUCCUGCCAGUGUCAUCACCGUCAGCGGAAACCUCCGCCGAGCUCCUCCGCCGGACAACCCUCCGCUGAACUUCACCGCUGGGCAGCCUGUUCUAUGCUUCACCGCCGG
This 447-nucleotide long non-coding RNA is filed under the name Rosa chinensis. RNAcentral describes it as "sRNA RchiOBHm_Chr6g0294981". Lineage: Eukaryota; Viridiplantae; Streptophyta; Magnoliopsida; Rosales; Rosaceae. The record is from RNAcentral.